RNAcentral lists this unclassified non-coding RNA (345 nucleotides) under soil metagenome. RNAcentral's name for it is "partial contains 5.8S ribosomal RNA, internal transcribed spacer 2, and large subunit ribosomal RNA". The stretch from base 1 to 121 matches the Rfam family "5.8S ribosomal RNA", at positions 35 to 154 of the family's 154-position model. The record is from RNAcentral.
GAUGAAGAACGUAGCGAAAUGCGAUAAGUAAUGCGAAUUGCAGAAUUUCCGUGAGUCAUCGAAUCUUUGAACGCACAUUGCUCCCACUGGUAUUCCGGUGGGCAUGCCUGUUCGAGCGUCAUUAUCCUCCCUCAAACCCCGGGUUUGGUGUUGGACCCAAGUUGUGUGAACAACUGGUCUCAAAGACAAUGACGGCGUCCGUGGGACCCUCGGUGCAACGAGCUUUUAGGAGCACGCAUUGAGUUGCAAGGACCUUCCGGGCCGGUCUCCUUUACCAUUUUACAAGGUUGACCUCGGAUCAGGUAGGAAUACCCGCUGAACUUAAGCAUAUCAAUAAGCGGAGGA